RNAcentral lists this ribosomal RNA (595 nucleotides) under Agarivorans sp. C6. Its description in RNAcentral is "bacterial SSU rRNA". It matches the Rfam family "Bacterial small subunit ribosomal RNA", at positions 57 to 645 of the family's 1533-position model. Lineage: Bacteria; Pseudomonadati; Pseudomonadota; Gammaproteobacteria; Alteromonadales; Alteromonadaceae. The record is from RNAcentral.
GCAGUCGAGCGGUAACAUUUCUAGCUUGCUAGAAGAUGACGAGCGGCGGACGGGUGAGUAAUGCUUGGGAAACUGCCUGAGAGUGGGGGACAACAGUUGGAAACGACUGCUAAUACCGCAUAAUGUCUUCGGACCACAGGAGGGGCUCUUCGGACCUUUCGCUUUCAGAUGUGCCCAAGUGGGAUUAGCUAGAUGGUGGGGUAAUGGCCUACCAUGGCGACGAUCCCUAGCUGGUUUGAGAGGAUGAUCAGCCACACUGGGACUGAGACACGGCCCAGACUCCUACGGGAGGCAGCAGUGGGGAAUAUUGCACAAUGGGCGCAAGCCUGAUGCAGCCAUGCCGCGUGUGUGAAGAAGGCCUUCGGGUUGUAAAGCACUUUCAGUUGUGAGGAAGGUGGGGUGGUUAAUACCCAGCUCAUUUGACGUUAGCAACAGAAGAAGCACCGGCUAACUCCGUGCCAGCAGCCGCGGUAAUACGGAGGGUGCGAGCGUUAAUCGGAAUUACUGGGCGUAAACGUACGCAGGCGGCUAAUUAAGCCAGAUGUGAAAUCCCCGGGCUUAACCUGGGAAUGGCAUUUGGAACUGGUUAGCUAGA